UCUGUUCUCCACCCCAGCAUCCUUCCUUCUGGCUACCUAGUUCCUUGGGAUCCCUAGACAACUAACUGGUGAACACCAAGCUCAAUGGGGACACUCUAGAACAAUGGUCAAGGUCAGUUAAAAGAGGGAGGGACCGCAUUGGAUUCCCCAUUCACAGACUGAGACAAUGAAGCAUUAUUCUGACUUAAAAGGACCUUGACACGUAUGAUGGGGACGCUGGCCAGCUGUUUUGUGGUUGGUCCCUCAGCUUGGGCAUGACUCUGUAGAAGUGAUGGAUGUUCUAUGACGUCUGUGCACCAUCAGGGAGAAACGCAACAGGUACUGGAAGAAAUGACAAGGUACAACAUCUGUCUAUGAUAGCCAUGAUGUUGGUGGGGAGGCACACCAGCAGACCAGAGGCUGCAGCUGGAGUA
Peromyscus eremicus (cactus mouse) is the source of this 413-nucleotide long non-coding RNA. RefSeq lists it as uncharacterized. The record is from RefSeq and is a predicted model, not a curated record. The transcript is spliced from 4 exons. NCBI's taxonomy places the organism in Eukaryota, Metazoa, Chordata, Mammalia, Rodentia, Cricetidae.